UACGUAGGGUGCAAGCGUUAAUCGGAAUUACUGGGCGUAAAGCGUGCGUAGGCGGCUUUGCAAGACAGAUGUGAAAUCCCCGGGCUUAACCUGGGAACUGCAUUUGUGACUGCAUGGCUGGAGUGCGGCAGAGGGGGAUGGAAUUUCGCGUGUAGCAGUGAAAUGCGUAGAUAUGCGGAGGAACACCGAUGGCGAAGGCGAUCCCCUGGGCCUGCACUGACGCUCAUGCACGAAAGCGUGGGGAGCAAACAGG
Molecule: ribosomal RNA, 253 nt
Filed under: uncultured bacterium
Lineage: Bacteria
Description: partial 16S ribosomal RNA
Rfam family: Bacterial small subunit ribosomal RNA
Source: RNAcentral